GCCUGAUUGCUGCGCUUUCCUUUGCUGGUUGGUGGCGGUGGAGAGCUCAGAGCACCAAGAAAGGGGGAAAUCCCCUGGCUGAAGCUACGGCUGCUCCUCUGCAGAUCACUUGAAGGAGAAACGCUUUCGCAUUACGGCACUCUUAAAGCGGCAGGGUCCAAUUUCUCCUUCAAUCUCCUGAAGCUCAACCUGCAAGCGCCCGCACACAGCUCCGCUGUGCGCAGCUCUCUUCCUCGCAGAUGGGUCCUGGCUGAAGCUGCAAGAGUUGCUUGCAGGCAGCUGCGGCUCCCAGUGGGGAGACAGGACCUCCAAUAAGGAGUGUCAGAUACCAAAGCCCUUUAAGAAGGUGGAGGGUAUCUUGAUGUACAGAAGAUGCAGAGACACAGAGAGGGGGCAAGGCCAAGAGGACAGCCAUCAGGAGUGCCUCCAGUUUUGGGUGCCCAACUUGAAAGACUUUAGGCCAAAUUUUUGGAGGUGUUGAGCACCUGCAGCUCCCAAAUCAGAGGCGACUUUUGAAAAUCCCUCCCCCGUCUCUCAUCAUAAUUGCACCCCCUUUGGUAAUUGGUUUUAGGUCUGAAUGGUUUAAUUUUUCCACCCUCCAAUGCCAUCUUGUUCAUUUUUCAUUCUGCAAAGCUUGGGGGAGGGGGUGUACAGUUUGUUAUGAAAAAGUCAAUGCACAAAGCAGCUAUAAUGCUGGGUAUUAAAUGGCCAGUAGCUGAAGAUGCAUGGGCCAGCGGUGUACUACACUGAACUACAUCCCAAACAGAUCUCCAGAAUCAUGGCUUCUAUGCAAUCCUGCUUUCCCAGAGGCUCAGUGGAAGCGAUAACAGACACAGUGCAUCUCCAAAUCCCUGGGAUCAUUUAUAGGGUGGAUGCAAUGCACCAAAGUAGGGGAGUUGAGAAAGUUAAUCAGUAAAGCCUCCAAGCUUGCCCAAGUAUCUAGUACUAAACUCAGCCUGGUGUAGCUGGGCCUGCAUAAGGGAGUGUCCAUGUGCCUUUAUCUGAUCCUUAUUUCAUCGGUAGAUCUGUAUUUUUUUCCAGUGGAACUGAGUGUUUGUGAAAAGUGCUAGCUUGGCACCUUGGGAGUCUGCAGCGCUCCAUGUACAGCAAGGGCAUUAGCAGUGCAGGCUUCUCCUGGGCAGUGCCAGAGUCCUUGCCAGGGAUUGUCCUCAAGGGGCCAGAGGGGAUUUCAUUCUCCAUGGCUCACCAGGUCCCAGUCCUACAAGGUACUGACUGCCCACAACAUCACUGGGAGUCUAGGGCAGUCAGCACCUCCGAGAAGGUGCUCAGCACUUUGUAGGAUCACACCCUUGAUCCUUGAUCUCCCUGCCGCACUUCCAAAUGAAGGUGCCAACGAGUGGUAAAUGUACUGGUGAGUUUGUAAUGUGUGCUCGUGUCCAUGGGCAACUGGGCUGACACCCAACAGCUCAUGUAACAUACUUAAAAAGAGACACAAGCUGGUCCAGUGGCUAAGGCACUAGGCUGGGACUUAGGAGACCUAGGUUCCGCUCUGCUGCUGGCCAAGCAUGUGACCUUGGGCACGUCACUUCUCCUACUCCUACCACCCUUUGUUUGUCUUGUCUAUUUAGAUGGUAAGCUCUUUGGAGUAAGGACUGACUCUUAUUGUGUGUGCAUGUACAGCACCAAGCCCCCUGGGGCUCUGAUCUCAAGGUGGGUCCUCUAGAUAUUAUUGUAAGAUAAACAAUAAAAUAGUAAUAGCAAUAUCACCUUCCUUGAGGAUCUCAAAGCAUCUACAAACAUGAAAUAUGCUUCACAGCACCACCCUGUGCAGUAGGUAAGUGAUAUACAUAGCUUGUCACUUCACCCACCACUGAAUAACCAAACUCUUCUGGUUCAUGGAAUAAGAUGGAGAAUAACAAGGCAAGAGAGGCUAGAGAAUAAUAAACCAUCACAUCACUGCCACUGUGAUAUAGCUCAGCCAUAUUGCUUCUGUGCAGUACAUUGAGGUGUGCAUUUAACAGCAUGGACUGUGAUCCAAAAUCCUAUACUAAGGCACUGCUGCAGUGCAGCUCAGUAAAAAUAACACAGCUGUGCAGUUUGGCCCAGUUAACAUUGGUUUGAGGACUGUCGCUUCAUUAUUUUCUGACCUCGGUGCAUUUUUAAAUUCUCAUCCUUAAUGUUGCAUUAACAUCAGGUUUCUUUGCACUAAAUUAUCACAUGUUCAGAAGAGGCCAUUGAGUUUCCUCAGCAGUAUUCAUGCAGUUCAGCUUUUUCCAAGUGCAGCACUGCGCAUCAUAUCUGCGUUGUGAAAUUCAGUGCAAUGCAGCUCCCUGCAGCACCAUGCCAUCACAAUGGGGACAUCACUGACUUGCUGGCUUUGUGCUUUGUCCUCAAGGUGUUUCCCAGAUAUAAUGCCAUUGUCUGUAACAAAAUAAUUAGCAAAACUUCUCAGACAGUACAAAUAAAGCUAUUGUGAUUCUUAAACCUGAAUCAGUCAAUCAGAAAUCAAUAUGAAAGUAGAAGCUGGUAUUCAAAGAAGCACUAUCCACAUGGAAUAAUAAAAAUCUUGGUUUAAAUGGACACUGAGUUUUUAAAAAAUCUCUCUGUAUAGAAUCUAUGUAAAUCCUUUUUUGGGGUUUUCUCCCCAUAAUAAAUAUGUCAAUGCAGUUGUUUACAAGGAAGGAAGGAAGACCUCAAUGCCAGCAAAUUAGCCCUAAAGAAAAACUCUGCAUCAACAUUCUUUGGAAGGAAAUAUCCCAAUCUUUCCCCCUCCGAUGUCAACGACAAAAUUCCCAUUGACUUAAAUGGGAACAAGGUUGGGCCCAAAAUUUCAAAAAGGAUAUUUUUGCAUGUAUACACAUAGAAUCAUAGAAUAUCAGGGUUGGAAGGGACCU
Molecule: long non-coding RNA, 2855 nt
Organism: Dermochelys coriacea (leatherback sea turtle)
Lineage: Eukaryota; Metazoa; Chordata; Testudines; Dermochelyidae
Exons: 3
Source: RefSeq, a predicted model, not a curated record